This 21-nucleotide ribosomal RNA is filed under the name Trentepohlia aurea. RNAcentral's name for it is "partial 18S ribosomal RNA". Lineage: Eukaryota; Viridiplantae; Chlorophyta; Ulvophyceae; Trentepohliales; Trentepohliaceae. The record is from RNAcentral. RNAcentral also lists the same sequence under 2 other names.
GCGCGAGUCAUCAGCUCGCGU